UACGUAGGGACCGAGCGUUGUCCGGAAUCAUUGGGCGUAAAGAGCGUGUAGGCGGCCACUUAAGUCCUGCGUGAAAUCUUGCGGCUCAACCGCAAGCGGUCGUGGGAAACUGGGUGGCUAGAGUGCGGGAGAGGAGAGUGGAAUUCCUGGUGUAGCGGUGGAAUGCGCAGAUAUCAGGAAGAACACCCGUGGCGAAGGCGGGUCUCUGGGACGGUACUGACGCUGAGACGCGAAAGCGUGGGGAGCGAACAGG
This 253-nucleotide ribosomal RNA is filed under the name uncultured bacterium. RNAcentral's name for it is "partial 16S ribosomal RNA". It matches the Rfam family "Bacterial small subunit ribosomal RNA", at positions 524 to 776 of the family's 1533-position model. The record is from RNAcentral.